RNAcentral lists this ribosomal RNA (478 nucleotides) under Triticum aestivum (bread wheat). RNAcentral's name for it is "partial small subunit ribosomal RNA". The record is from RNAcentral. Lineage: Eukaryota; Viridiplantae; Streptophyta; Magnoliopsida; Poales; Poaceae.
AGCGAGAAUACGAAGGAUGUGCUCCUAUCAUGUUCAUUCUUACAUUUGGAAAAGAAGGGAUUCAUUGAGCAGUUCUCCGAAAUUUCUUCAAUAAACCAGCGAAUUUAUCAUCUGGUCCAUCAGGGAAUAAAGGUGAGAGAGCAAAUGAGUUUCUGAAGUCAGAUGAGAUUAUAUAGCAGGUUGACUCUUUGUAGUGCUGGUUCAGAUGUAGGUCAGGUUACAUGUUAGCCAAAAAAACACAUUAUAUUGCCUUUGUUUUUUACAUCGAGGUGUAAAUGUUGAGAAGUAUAUUAUUCUGAUUGAUAAUAGUUUAAGGAGCAUUACAAAGGAUCGCUACAAAGAAUUUGAAGGAUUCAAGGAAAUGUUUUCUCAGUCUUAUCCAUCACAUAACUUUGGGUUCUAUCAUUUGUGUGGCACAUACAUUUGUAAAGAAGUGAACUGUAUUUGCAACUCUAAAUUUUAAUCAAUGCAAAUCGAC